Long non-coding RNA from Bufo bufo (common toad), 146 nucleotides. RefSeq lists it as uncharacterized. NCBI's taxonomy places the organism in Eukaryota, Metazoa, Chordata, Amphibia, Anura, Bufonidae. The record is from RefSeq and is a predicted model, not a curated record. The transcript has 3 exons.
CAGUUAAUUUAUUCACUGCACUUGCCCUGACGUCAUUCCUUCCAAGCGCCGUAAUCUCGCGCAGGCGCAGUGUACACAGUAGUCUGCGCCGGUGCGGACUACUGGCACAGGCUUCGUCGAUCCAACUGCGCAUGCGCCAACAACCC